UACAGAGGGUGCAAGCGUUUAAUCGGAUUUACUGGGCGUAAAGCGCGCGUAGGCGGCUAAUUUAAGUCAAAUGUGAAAUCCCCGAGCUUAACUUGGGAAUUGCAUUCGAUACUGGUUAGCUAGAGUGUGGGAGAGGAUGGUAGAAUUCCAGGUGUAGCGGUGAAAUGCGUAGAGAUCUGGAGGGAAUACCGAUGGCGAAGGCAC
Molecule: ribosomal RNA, 204 nt
Filed under: uncultured bacterium
Lineage: Bacteria
Description: partial 16S ribosomal RNA
Rfam family: Bacterial small subunit ribosomal RNA
Source: RNAcentral